RNAcentral lists this ribosomal RNA (500 nucleotides) under uncultured bacterium. RNAcentral's name for it is "partial 16S ribosomal RNA". It matches the Rfam family "Bacterial small subunit ribosomal RNA", at positions 28 to 507 of the family's 1533-position model. The record is from RNAcentral.
GAUGAACGCUGGCGGCGUGCUUAACACAUGCAAGUCGAACGGAAAGACCUGCUUUUCCUUCUGGUGUGGGGGUAGGCGGGUGGCGAAGGGAUGAGUAAAUCGUCAGUCAUUUGCCCUCGACUUGGGUAGAAGCCUGGGAAACUGGGUCUAAUUAUCUAUAGGACUGCAGGGUGGAGCCGGUGGUGGAAAAUUAUUUUCUAGUGGUUGGGGAUGAGCUCGCGGCGUAUCAGCUUGUUGGUGGGGUAAUGGACUAACAAGGCGGCGAUGGGUAGCCGGGCUGAGAGGGUGAUCGGGCACACUGGCACUGAGACACGGUCCAGACCCCUACUGGAGGCGGCAGUGGGGAAUGUUGGGCAAUGGGCGUAAGCGUGAUGCAGAAACACCGCGUGAGUGAAGAAGGUCUUCGGCUUGUAAAUCUCUGUUGUUGGGGAAGAAGAGGAGGCGACCUAGAUGGAAGGGUGUUGACGGUACCGAAAGAAGAAGCACCGGCUAACUACGUG